This 80-nucleotide transfer RNA is filed under the name Lachnospiraceae bacterium. RNAcentral's name for it is "tRNA-Leu". It matches the Rfam family "tRNA". From Rfam's summary of the family: Transfer RNA (tRNA) molecules are approximately 80 nucleotides in length. Their secondary structure includes four short double-helical elements and three loops (D, anti-codon, and T loops). Further hydrogen bonds mediate the characteristic L-shaped molecular structure. tRNAs have two regions of fundamental functional importance: the anti-codon, which is responsible for specific mRNA codon recognition, and the 3' end, to which the tRNAs corresponding amino acid is attached (by aminoacyl-tRNA synthetases). tRNAs cope with the degeneracy of the genetic code in two manners: having more than one tRNA (with a specific anti-codon) for a particular amino acid; and 'wobble' base-pairing, i.e. permitting non-standard base-pairing at the 3rd anti-codon position. The record is from RNAcentral. Lineage: Bacteria; Bacillati; Bacillota; Clostridia; Lachnospirales; Lachnospiraceae.
GCGGAUGUGGUGGAACUGGCAGACACGCCAGAUUUAGGUUCUGGUGGGCGACCGUGGGGGUUCGAGUCCCUUCAUCCGCA